Molecule: long non-coding RNA, 9323 nt
Organism: Cercocebus atys (sooty mangabey)
Lineage: Eukaryota; Metazoa; Chordata; Mammalia; Primates; Cercopithecidae
Exons: 3
Source: RefSeq, a predicted model, not a curated record
UGGAAAAAAUAAAAGAAAUAAAAAAUGUAUUGGUAAUAGUGAACAUUGUCUUGUUUUGACUUACAGGCAAUAUCACACCAGAAAAAUGGCUGCAUUUGGAAAAUGAAUAGCUGGAGAAAAUUCUAAUGAAUAAGCCCAAGGCCUCCAGAAAUGAGGAUGGAAAUAACCAGCAUAAGAGAGAAGAGACCAAAAGAAGGAUGAUCCCCCCCACAGAUGUGCAAGUGACUAAUUCGGUCAAGAAGAAAACCAGGCCUCCCUCACAGGGUUGAGAGAAGAUAGCACCAGCCAGCCUUGUAGCCUGAGAAGCUGUCUCCUCACCAGCUUUCUCCUCACCAACUCUUCAAAGAUCCAGUUGAUACAAAAUGCACAUGCUAACAUGUGAUUCCCCAGGCCUCACCAAGCUGAUGUGGUCUUCUCCAAGUCCCCGGUCCUGAGCAAGCUGAAUCUCCUUUGUCACUCAUGGGGCAACAGGGACUUACCUGCCAGAGCAGCAGAAAGGAGAGAUCCUUUAGCACAGGAGCUCAGAUGCCAGGAGCUCACACAAAAUGCUUGAAGAAAGGGGCUUAGCCAGAAACUGAACUGGGAGCUGAUGCCCAGUUUAGGAAGGGUUCAAAUCGAGUAGCCAAAGCAGCAAAUUCUACAUCAGAUCCACAAACUAUUAACUAGGAAACUAAAAACAAGUCAAAUCAAAUUGGGCUCAAAAGGAAUAUAGGGGCAGAAGAGGUGAUGCGCAGAUGGCUGUGCCUGGCCGAAUGGGGAGGGUAGGCACAGGCAGUGCACACCAUUGCUUUCUUUGCUUCCUUUUUAAAAGAUUUUAUUUUCAAGAGCAGUUUCAGAUUCAAAACAAAGUUAGAAGGACCGAGAUUUUUUCCAUAUACCCCUGUCCCUGGACAGGCAUAGACCCCCAUUAUCAAAAUCCCCUAUCAGAGUGUAAUAAAUGACAAUGAACCUACAUUGGACACAUCAUAAUCACACAAAGUCCUGGUGUACAUUAGAUUUCACUCUUGGUGUUUUACAUUCUAUGAAUUUGGACAAAUGUGUCAUGGCGUGUGUCCACUGUACCAUACAGAGAACUUUCACUGCCACAAAAAUCUUCUGUGCUCUGCCUAUGGUUGGGGAUCAGAAACCAAUACCCCAAAAUAUGGCAUUUUGACAUGCUGAACUGAAGAAGCUUUAAAGUCUCUCUGACCUUCCCACCACCUCUUCUGCGCCACUUUCUUUCCCAAAACCCAGGAUUAUCUUGUUCCCUUAUCUGCUUAAAGUCCGAGCCUGCCAAGAAGAAAACGAUGACCUCUGUCCCCUUCCCUGAGUUUUCAUUAACUGAACCUGGAUUCCAGGAAGAAAGAUUGAAGUCUGUCAACACACCUGGACAGACUUUUAUCACAAACCAUUGUCCACUCUGCGAACCCAACAGACUUUGUCCCAGACAACUGGAUGCUCUUCAAGCUUAUUGAAUUCUCCCUAGGAAUCACGCAUUGCCCCUCAGCAGAAUUCCUCUUAUCCCUACUCACAUAGUUUGCUUUGCCAGGAUCCUAAGAUUUCUUGGAAAACCUUAGGACCAGGAGGUAUUCUUGUGGACUCAUUCUGUUUUUCUGUAACUUCAAGAUGGUGUAUAAGCUUCUGCACCCCAAUGGGGGUUGGAGUAAUCACAGUGUCUCCUGUGUGAACGUAAACAAAAUUUGUAUGCCUAUUUUCCAAUUAAUGUGCCUUUUGUGAGUUGAUUUUUUAGCGAAAAUUCAGAGGGCUCCUUGACCCCUACACUAUUCAUCCCUCCCCCUCCCUUCAGCCCCUAACAACCACUGAUCUUCUUACUGUCUCCACAGUUUUAUCUUUUCCAGAAGGUCAUAUAGUUGAAAUAUUACAGUCCAUUACCUUUUCAGAUUAGCUUCUGUCACUUAGUAAUAUAUAUUUAAGAUUCCUCCAUGUCUUUUCAUGGCUUCAUAGUUCAUUUCUUUUCAGCAUUAAAUGAUAUUACAUUGUUUGAUGUACCACAAUUUAUCCCUUACCUACUCAAGGAAUACCUGGUUGUUUCCAAGAUUUACCUGGCCACCUAUGGAAUACCGUAUUUUCCAAAACUGGCCAUAAGAUAUUUCCUACUAUUUUUGCAUAUUGCAGUUGCAUAAGAAUUGUGUCCUACCUAAGGUUUUCCAGAAAUGUGGCACUUCUCCAUCAAGACAUGGAUUCUUCUUCCUCUUCCCAAGUUCAGGCAGAUUUGUGACUGGCUGGUAACCAUAGAGCAUGGUAGAAAUUACACGGAGUGAUUUCUCAGGUUAGGUUAUAAAUGAUGAAGCUAAUCUCCCUCACUGGAACAUAGGCAUUGAGUCCUGAGCCACCAAGCAAGUGUCCAGCUGCCCUGAAACUGCCAUGUGGUGAGGAAGCCCAAACUUGUAAUUUCACCUCUUCUGCCCCUAUUCCUUUUGUGCCCAACUGGAUUUGACUUUUUAUUUUUCUAGUUAAGUGAAAAGAUGGCAAGGGGAAGCACUGAAGCUGCAUCCUGAGUGAGAGAUGCCCGGCCAUUGUGCAGCUGCUCUACCCACCUCACCCUCAGCCUACUUUCCUCCACCCCCAACCCUUGUACUUUUGUUGCUCCUAUCACUGUCUGGUUACAGUUGGAGGAGAGAUUACAAGACAGUAGCACCCAGCUAAACCCUUCCUGAAUUCGCAAUUCACAACAGUUAUAAAAGACAAUAAAAUGACUGUUCUUCAAGUCGUAUGUUUUAAAGUGAAUUAUUAUUCAGCAACAAAUAACCCAUAACAUCAUCCUUUUUUCCUCACCUCCACUUCCCAGUGUUGCCUCCAGUCUGAGUACUUAAAGUUAGGCCUACACAUCCAAUCCUUUCCCUUCAGAGGAAACUUAUUAUAAACUGAGGCAUCCGGAAAAAGGUUAUCAUGAGGUUUUAAUGUCAUUCUCUGCUCUCUUCAUUAACAUAUAAAUAACCCUAGUAUAAUUUUUUCCUCUUGUUUACAUGCAAAUAUAUUUAAGAACUGAACUGCCCCAGUUGUUUAUGAUUGUGUCCAUACCAUAAUCCCAAAACAAUUUUAAAAAGAGAAUAAAAUUAAUUAUUUAUUGGUUUUGUGUUUUUCUCCUUCUGGAAUCCAUUAAACCAACCAUAUUUUAUUGAGUUUCUCAUUUGGAGAAGGAGAUGAUUUGUCUUGUUUUUACAUUUUCCUUUGUUCUUAUCUUGGCAAUUAACUAUUGGAUGAUUUGUUAAUUAGAUAACUGACAUCCAAAGGCACUUCAUUCAUUGAAAAAGUAAAAUAAUAACAGCUCAUCGUCUAGGGAAAAACGCAGAGGAAAAAUGAUCACAUUUUUAACAUCGUGGUUGAUGUAGGUAGUUGAACUUGAAUAUGUUUACCAAACCACUAAAUGCAGACCGAUGCUUUUGGAAGCUAACUUUAAGAUGAAUAAACUUUUGCUUAUCCUAAUUGCCCUUAGGAAAUGACAGCACAUGUUUAAUAAGAAGGAAAAAAGUAGAGUGGGUUUUCGUGUGACUCUUUCCUAUGACAUUUCUUACUCCACUUUUAACAGAAUCGACUAAAAUCAUACGAAAAAAAAUCAUGCCCUUUAAACUUGUCUGUAUUAGUUCUUUAUAACUCAGAGAUGCCCCACUAUUCAAUGUAUUUUCAGCAUCAAAAAAAAUCUCCACCCUCAAAAAAUACUCGUUUACCCUUGAAAUUGUUUUUGCUAUCACCACAUGAAUUCUGAAGAAAGGCUUGAUUAUAUUGUUAAAUCAGUGUUGAUUUAAACAUGGAUCGACUUCCCACAUAGCCACCAUAACUGAGUUGUUGCUAGAACUGAAAGAAACUGGAAGGAAAUGAUCAAAAUUUCCCUAAAAGCAGUAACCCUCCCUCUGCACAAAUUGCCCUGGUAGGAAAAAUCUCAGUCCCGCCUACCCUAAUGUGAACUAAUUUGGUCUACAGUGACACAGAGAAGGCACACAUAAGGAGACAUUUUCCAAUGUUUAGAAUUCUUUUCACUGCUAUAGAAAGCAUCUUGCUAUAGUAAGAAAAAGGCCAAAGAUCUGCCUUACACAGCUCGGGAUCUUUCUCCUUUGGCCUUAGCAUUUGGGGCUGGAGGUACUAUUUGUGGAAUGAGGCUGAGGAAAUGAGCCAAAAUGAAUUUCAGGCUUGCCAGAGCUUACAAUCUUAAUGUAAAUUCAACAAUUAGCAAUGGCUUAGCUGUGAAAGCUGGAAAAAAUUCCACACAUCAGAUGGUGAGAGAGGCUCGUUGGAAAAAUGGAAAAAUCAUUUCCAUUUUACUGUUGUUAUGCUGUCAUGUCCUCGCUCAACUAACCUUGAAAGCAGACCUGAACGCUAUGAGUCAUCGACUCAUGAAGAUGCCCCCAGAAAGGUAACGUCCUUAUUCGUGCAAAGUAGAACUAUGAAACUGUACAAAGUCUAUGCAGGGAGAUUUAAAACAUGAUACAAUAUGAGGAACAAGAUGUAUCAUCAGCUUCAAAAACUGCCGAGGUUAAUGGAUGUUGUUGGAUGCCAAGAGGAUCCAAUUAAAUUAAGAUACUUCUUACAAGAAUCAACAGCUCUAACAUGUCCUUGUCAGCCUAAAGCUUAUAGCAGGUGUGAUCCUGUAAUAUGACUUUUUUGUGUUUGUUUCCUGAAGUUUUUAAAGAAGGCAGAAAACACACAUUGUACACCAUGGAGUCAAUAGCUGCCUGUGCCCAGCAAAACGUGGAGGUCUCCUUCCCUCAUUUCCCCUCCUUGGGGUUUUUCUCAAUAGGAAGAAAAAUGUAAAUAUGCAGGUGCAUAUUUCAUCAUCCAAUUAGAAAGAAUAUAAUGAUAUGGGAACUUGAGGGAAAGACCUGAAAUUCUAAGGACUUCACAUGCUAAACACAAUUACUUACUCUCUGGGGGGCUUUCCCCAAAAAUCUUUCACCCUUAUUUUUGUUGUUGGUCAUUACAGAUGAUGCAAACUUUGCAACCAUCCUCAAAACCAAGGACCAUGUUCCAUUUAAACCUUUUAAUCAAUUAUACAUCACACCCAGUCUGGGAGUAAAUCUUGCUAGUGCCCUCAAGCUUUCUUCUUCAUGACUUUUCCUCAUUCCUUCACACCAUAAAAUACCCCCCUUUUCUAUAUUAAACUCUGUUCUGAGUGCAGAUCAAACACGAUCAAUAUUUUAAUACAAAUGUCCCCCAAUUUUUCUCCAUCAAACAUCCAUUCAGCUUAUAUCUUAGUUUGGAUUUCCCCCCGAAAGCACAGCCUGAGAAAGAAUUCAGGUGCAAGUAGUUUAUUUGGGACAUGAUCCCAGGAAGCACCGGGGCACUCUGGGGAAGCCAGAUAAGGAAGGCAGGAAAGCAAGUGAAGUUCCUACUGUGGGCAACCAUGCUGAGAUCAAACUGGGGACCUUCUAAAAUACCGCACUUCACAUCCCAGAUUGUCCCACCAAGGCACAUUCAUCCACCAACUCAUGUUCCACAUUGUUGGGGGAUUACUUGCAAGACUGCUUGACUCCACAGAGCUUCCAGCCUACACAGUGCACAGGCAAGGGUGCACUCCUGUGGCCAGAGAACAUCCUCUGGCAAAAUGGUUGUGGAGUGCCCACUAAAGCUGCAAGUGAUCUUCAGAGAGGACUGAGUGGACACAGGCAAGACUCCCCCAAUGAUGCCCGCUACCUACUGCCUGUGCCUGACCAGGCACAUGCUCAGCUAUACACACAAUGGGUAGUUUUGUUUAUUGAAUGAAUAUUCAGAUAUAUAUUCUCUCCCCUUUGAUUGUCUAACUGAAUUAUGAUUCGUAUUUGUAUCUUCCCUCAGAUAGAACCUUUAACCCAAUCAUUCAUUUACCCAUCUUUUAAUCUGUACAAAGAGCUUCCUGUCUCCAUUCUGCAAAUACUUGUUUUGAACCCAAUUAUCUCAGCGCUCUUCUCUCCCUUAUGCACUGUCAAGACAAUUUACUUCAAAUGGGAAAAAGAGCUCCAGCUCAUGGCCCCUGCUUUUGAAUCUCAGGAAAAUAAACGGAUAUCUUUCUCAACCACAGGGCUGUAUCGUGAGUCUUUUUCAGAAGUUUGAAAAAUGUUUAAUUUUUUCAGAUUCACAUUAUGUUCUACAUCUAUUUACAUACGUAUAAAGGAAAUGUGUUCUUUUAUAUUAGCUUCUUUUUCAAUCAGCAAAUAAGGCAAAAAAUUUCACCGCAGCAAAUUUUGUUGGUUUUAUAUUUAAAUCACAAUUGUUUCUUUGUAAAAGAGCUUGUAGUAAAAUCCAUACAGAACUAGAAAGAAUCGUGUGCCAAAAAAAAUGCGAGCUGCCAUUCAGAAACUUAUUUUGUUUUCCAUAUGAGAUAUUAACUACUGAUUUUUCUUUUUCCUAUCACAUUGUCCAGUUCUUACAGCCUGGGGUGGCUCUUAAUCCUUGUUUGUGGAGACUGUAACACUUUAUCGAUUCUCAAAAGAUUUUUCUAUCUGAGAGUGAUUUUUUUCAGUGUCACUAGUACAUCUAAGUACUUUGGUGUACAUGUGUGCUGGGGAUUCAGGGACAUCAUUUCUCACCCUCUGACAUGGCCUAAGUACUACAUUUCCUUAAAAGUUGCAGAAAUAGCCUUAAGGCUAUUGAUGGGAGUGUCCUGUAGGGUCUCUUGUCUGGCUCAUAUUUGUAAUGAACUUGCCUUUAGACUACAGCGAUAAAAAGGACAUAAUCCUGAAGUGAUUCAUAAUCCUUAAGAGAAGCUCCGCCAAUUUAUGUGGCAGGCCUCAAUCUCAUGUGAAGAUUUAAUGAGAACCACAUGCAGUCAAAAGUAUACCCUGCAUCUGUCACAGCAGAUAGCUCUGGAAAAGCAGAGCAAUACCUCGUGUGAAGACGAGCUAUUUAGACAUUUUUAACUGACAGCAAUGCAAUGACCCUAACAGAGAACUUGGGGGAAAGAGAAACAAAAAAAUAAAAAAGAUAACCGGUGCAGCAAAUAUUGAUCCAUUAUAUGCUUUCUGGUAAUUUCUGAAUAUUCCCCAAAAGAAAAGCAAGAUAUGGAUAAUUUAUGUGCCUAUUGAAAGUAAUUUUCCAAGCAUGAAUGGCUGAAGGAUUGUAAUUUCUUUCCCCCCAGUCAUUAUGGGUCUCCCAGAGGUCAUACAAAUAACCAGCAUCCUUUCAUCCUAAACACCGCUAAGCCCAGGUUGAGAUAUGAGCCUAUUAAAAUUCGGUUUAAAGAAGAAUUUUAUUUUGCCGAUGAUCUCAUUUAUUAAUUGCUGACUGCCUCUUAAAACCUUCAGUGGAAGACAAAGAGACCUUCAAAUCCUUUCUCUGAGAAUUAAAGCUUUCAUUUAAGGAUUCCAGAUGGGCUGUAUUUAGGUAUUAAAGUUCAAGUACUUUAACCACCAAAAGAUGAAAGGAAUUUUACCCAGUUUUGUUCCACAAUUGCCACCCAGUAUUUCUUCAGUCCUGGCCAAAUUGAGCAUCAAUUUAAAUCAGAUUUACUCAUGGGACCCUCUGUAAUCACAGUCAACACAAGAUAUUAGGGAGUUUAGGAAACGGGUCUAUUAAAUGACAAUUAAAGCUGUCAGCCUUCCAGAGCUUAUUUUCGGUUAAUUUGAUCCUAGUAGACAGUCGUAUUGGACGGCUGUAAACAAAGAGGUUUGCUUUGCAAUACAAGCUGAGAUCCAGAGCUGGCUGCCUGGAACCUGGUGAAGGUGCGGGUUUCACUUUGGCCUUAAGAUGGCUUCAGCUGUUCCUCUGAAUAAAAGACUUCAAAAUCACUUCAACUAUUUAAAACCUCCUGAAAGUCCUAACGCUCAGCCAAAGAAGAGUUUAACUGGCACCUUUCAGAGAAAGGAGUCAGCAGUGAGGUCCUGGGUACUGACUGGCAUUUCCUUUGGAUGUGAAGUCUCAUGGAAAUUAUGUAGGACUAGGUGUUCUCCAUCCGGCAUAUAGGCAAUAGUAAAGAGAGCACUUUGCACCUAGAAUGUGCCUGAAAUCACCUAUCAAAAGUCUUAGGUUAUCCACACCCUUUAACGCAGGGCUCUCAUCUUCAGGGGUUUAUUCUGAAGAAAGAGUCAGAUAAUUGUGCAAAUGCAUGAACAAGUAUGUUUGCUGCAGUAUUCGAUGUAGACAAGAUGUAAAGCAGGCUUGGUUUUGUGACUCUUCCUGCCUCAUUCUCCUUAAGCCACCCCAAAGCCCAUAUCAUUUUUCUCUGCCUUAAAAACCACUUCAAUGCCACUGUCCUCUUAGGCAUUUAGCUGGAGAGCGGUGUCCUCCACAGGUUGAAAAUUCUAGGACCUGGGCAUUUCUCCAUUCCACCCUUGGAUUCAUACUCUCUACAGUCCGCAAGGCUAGAAAAACAGAUACAUUUUUUGUACGUUUUUAUACUAAGGUGUUCAUGGAUUAACAUUGCUUCUACUAAGUAGUAUUUUAUAUUGUAAAAUGAGAUCGUCCUAAAGACAAGACUUUAAACCAAAAAUGGGAAUUUCAGGCUCCAUAUCAACCCAGCAAUAAGGAUGUUUGUGGUUUAAAAUUCUUUUUAAAAAUAUCUUUUCAGUGUGUGGGUGUGUGUCUUAGUUUAUUUGUUAUGUUUCAUUAUGAAUAGAUAUUCAUGCUUAUUCUAGAAAAUGUGGGAAAUGAAAGGAGAAAGGAAGACAAAAUUCAUCCAUAUUCCCACCAUGCAGAAAUAGCAUUUUUAACAUUCUAUUGUGUUUCCUUUCAGUCUUGGUAAUAUGCACAAAUGUUUGUUUUUUCUCUGGAGUCAUAAUUAUAGUAUAUGUACCAUUUUGCAUUUUUAAAUUUUGCACAGUUAUAGAAAAAUAUCAGAAGAGUUCUACACUAAUAAGGCUUUCCAUGGGAUGACACUUUACAGUAGUUCACUGUUUCACUCUUUCUUUGCACAUCAAUUUACCUGCCAAGGAUACUUUAAAAGCGUUUGCCUCCUCUUUAUGGGCUUCCCAUUCACUCCCAUCUCUAUGUUACAUUGGAAACCUUCACUGUAUCUAGCUGGUAAGUAAAUUUCUCCAAAUGAACACUUCAGAGGCAUUUAAACCAGAGCAACUCCAUCUUGAAUAGGAGCUGGGUAAAAUGAGGCUGAGACCUACUGGCUUGCAUUCCCAAGAGGUUAAGGCAUUCUCAGUCACAGGAAGAGACAGGAGGUCAGCACAAGAUACAGAUCAUGAAGACCUUGCUGAUAAAACAGGUUGUAAUAAAGAAGCCAGAUAAAACACACCCAAACCAAGCGGCGACGAGCAUGACCUCUGGUCAUCCUCAAUGCUACACUCCCACCAGUGCCGUGACAGGUUGCACAUGCUAUGGCAAUGUCAGGAUGUUACCCUAUAUGGUCUAAAAAGGAAAGGCAUGAGUAAUCCACCCAUUGUUUAGCAUAUAAUCAAGAAAUAACC